GACGAACGCUGGCGGCGUGCUUAACACAUGCAAGUCGAGCGGUAAGGCCCUUUCGGGGUACACGAGCGGCGAACGGGUGAGUAACACGUGGGUGACCUGCCCUCAGCUCUGGGAUAAGCCUGGGAAACUGGGUCUAAUACCGGAUAUGACUCCAUGACGCAUGUUGUGGGGUGGAAAGCCUUGUGCGGCUGAGGAUGGGCCCGCGGCCUAUCAGCUUGUUGGUGGGGUGANGGCCUACCAAGGCGACGACGGGUAGCCGGCCUCGAGAGGGCGACCGGCCACACUGGGACUGAGACACGGCCCAGACUCUACGGGAGGCAGCAGUGGGGAAUCUUGCGCAAUGGGCGAAAG
Molecule: ribosomal RNA, 351 nt
Filed under: uncultured bacterium
Lineage: Bacteria
Description: bacterial SSU rRNA
Rfam family: Bacterial small subunit ribosomal RNA
Source: RNAcentral